This 362-nucleotide ribosomal RNA is filed under the name uncultured bacterium. RNAcentral's name for it is "bacterial SSU rRNA". It matches the Rfam family "Bacterial small subunit ribosomal RNA", at positions 169 to 509 of the family's 1533-position model. The record is from RNAcentral.
CCGUAUAUCUCUAAGGAUCGCAUGACUUCCUUAGAUAGGAAAGAGUUGGUUCUGCUAUCGUCUUUUAGAGUCGGACCCGCGGCGUAUUAACUAGUUGGUGGGGUAACGGCCUACCAAGGUGAUGAUACGUAGCCGAACUGAGAGGUUGAUCGGCCACAUUGGGACUGAGACACGGCCCAAACUCCUACGGGAGGCAGCAGUAGGGAAUCUUCCACAAUGGACGCAAGUCUGAUGGAGCAACGCCGCGUGAGUGAAGAAGGUCUUCGGAUCGUAAAACUCUGUUGUUAGAGAAGAACACGAGUGAGAGUAACUGUUCAUUCGAUGACGGUAUCUAACCAGCAAGUCACGGCUAACUACGUGCC